CUAGUAACGGCGAGUGAAGAGGGAAAAGCUCAAAUUUUGAAUCUGGUGUCUUUGACUCCCGAGUUGUAAUCUAGAGAAGUGUUUUCCGCGUUGGACCGUGUACAAGUUCCCUGGAACGGGGCGUCAUAGAGGGUGAGAAUCCCGUAUAUGCCACGGACURCCAAUGCUCUGUGAUACACUCUCAACGAGUCGAGUUGUUUGGGAAUGCAGCUCAAAAUGGGUGGUAAAUUCCAUCUAAAGCUAAAUAUUGGCGAGAGACCGAUAGCGAACAAGUACCGUGAGGGAAAGAUGAAAAGCACUUUGGAAAGAGAGUGAAACAGUACGUGAAAUUGUUGAAAGGGAAGCGUUUGAAGUCAGUCACGUCUGUCGGAAUUCAGCCUGGCUUCUGCCUGGUGUACUUUCCGUCYGACGGGUCAGCAUCAAUUUCGACCGAGGGAAAAAGACGUGAGGAAUGUGGCUGUCUUCGGGCAGUGUUAUAGACUCGCGUUGUAUGUCUCGGUUGGGAYUGAGGAACGCAGCGCGCCUAUUGGCCGGGGGUUCGCGCCCCUCGGUACGCGCUUAGGAUGCUGGCAUAAUGGCUUUAAGCGACCCGUCUUG
This 597-nucleotide ribosomal RNA is filed under the name uncultured Sebacina. RNAcentral describes it as "eukaryotic LSU rRNA". It matches the Rfam family "Eukaryotic large subunit ribosomal RNA", at positions 80 to 656 of the family's 3401-position model. The record is from RNAcentral. Lineage: Eukaryota; Fungi; Basidiomycota; Agaricomycetes; Sebacinales; Sebacinaceae.